This 447-nucleotide ribosomal RNA is filed under the name uncultured Glomus. RNAcentral describes it as "SSU rRNA". It matches the Rfam family "Eukaryotic small subunit ribosomal RNA", at positions 569 to 1024 of the family's 1831-position model. Lineage: Eukaryota; Fungi; Glomeromycota; Glomeromycetes; Glomerales; Glomeraceae. The record is from RNAcentral.
AGCAGCCGCGGUAAUUCCAGCUCCAAUAGCGUAUAUUAAAGUUGUUGCAGUUAAAAAGCUCGUAGUUGAAUUUCGGGACUAAUAUGUCGGUCGUGCCUCGGUACGUACUGGUUUAUUGGUUUCUCCUUUCUGAAGAACCAUGAUGUCAUUUAUUUGGUGUCGUGGGGAAUCAGGACUGUUACUUUGAAAAAUUAGAGUGUUUAAAGCAGGCUCACGCUUGAAUACAUUAGCAUGGAAUAAUGAAUAGGACGUUUGAUCCUAUUUUGUUGGUUUCUAGGAUUGACGUAAUGAUUAAUAGGGAUAGUUGGGGCAUUAGUAUUCAAUUGUCAGAGGUGAAAUUCUUGGAUUUAUUGAAGACUAACUACUGCGAAAGCAUUUGUCCAAGGAUGUUUUCAUUAAUCAAGAACGAAAGUUAGGGGAUCGAAGACGAUCAGAUACCGUCGUAGU